GUGUACCUACGGGAGGCAGCAGUGGGGAAUAUUGGACAAUGGGGGAAACCCUGAUGCAGCGACGCCGCGUGUGGGAAGACGGUCCUCUGGAUUGUAAACCACUGUCCCCAGGGACGAAAAUGACGGUACCUGGGGAGGAAGCUCCGGCUAACUACGUGCCAGCAGCCGCGGUAAUACGUAGGGAGCGAGCGUUGUCCGGAAUUACUGGGUGUAAAGGGAGCGUAGGCGGGGAUGCAAGUUGGGUGUCAAAACUACCGGCUCAACUGGAAGUCG
RNAcentral lists this ribosomal RNA (273 nucleotides) under uncultured bacterium. Its description in RNAcentral is "partial 16S ribosomal RNA". It matches the Rfam family "Bacterial small subunit ribosomal RNA", at positions 333 to 622 of the family's 1533-position model. The record is from RNAcentral.